Unclassified non-coding RNA from Mesocricetus auratus (golden hamster), 293 nucleotides. Its record names the gene 7SK. It matches the Rfam family "7SK RNA". Rfam says of the family: 7SK was discovered as an abundant small nuclear RNA in the mid-70s but a possible function has only recently been suggested. Two independent studies have found that 7SK RNA binds the CDK9/cyclin T complex (known as elongation factor P-TEFb). The record is from Ensembl. NCBI's taxonomy places the organism in Eukaryota, Metazoa, Chordata, Mammalia, Rodentia, Cricetidae.
GGUAGACAUGAGGAUUAUCUGUGGCAUUUGUCACCCAUUUUGACUUGAAUGGUAAAGCUAGUUAGGUAGGUGUCCUUUUUAUCUCUUACUAUACCAUGUGCAUCUCUCCUGUAUCCAUGUGCCUGAUCUUAAAGGAAGAGCUUCCCUGAAUAGAGGAGGAUGAGUCUUCAGUUGAGAAUAUAUAAAUAGCUUCUCUCCCAUGCUGUAAUCUCCAAAAACGAAGCUCUAGAAGGCUAGGAAACAUAGGAAUACUUAAAUCCCUACAGGCGUCUUCUGAGAGAGCAAUGCAAUGU